UUUCGUCAAUAUAAAUGUCCGUGCUUGGGUUGCUUUGAGCUUCACCUGCUGCACAGUCUUUUUCAUCAGAAGUGUUUCCUUUGGAGGUCAUUGAUAUAUCAUCUUUGAUUUCUGUUCCAAAAUUCUUUUCCAAAUCCUUUUUAAUUUCUUCAAAAUAUGAUGCAAUAAUUUCUCUUUUCGAGACUGCACCUUUCUUCAUUUGAAGUCUUUUACUGACCAUUUCAAAUGGACUUAAUUUGUCUAGUACAACAUUGGUUUUGUCCAAUUUGGCAUAGGCUUCUAUUAGUUUGAAUUUGUUGAAUCAAUUGUUCACCAAAUAAUUUACCUUGGUGAUUUGGUUGGAG
RNAcentral lists this long non-coding RNA (344 nucleotides) under Nicotiana benthamiana. RNAcentral's name for it is "long non-coding RNA (NBEN_LNC022828)". Lineage: Eukaryota; Viridiplantae; Streptophyta; Magnoliopsida; Solanales; Solanaceae. The record is from RNAcentral.